AACAUCGCGCACCUGCGGGAACCUGCGGAGGGAUCAUUAUCGAGUUAGGGUCGUUCUGGCCCGAACUUCCAACCCCUUGUUUAUCACACCAUGUUGCUUUGGUAGGCCCGCUCUUUUAGGGGGGCCGCCGGAGGUUAUCCUACCUCUAGCCCGUGCCUGCCAGUAGCCUUAUUAAAUUCUUUUUAACUGUGUCGUCUGAGUGGUAUUUUCAAAUCAUUUAAAACUUUUAGCAAUGGAUCU
Molecule: unclassified non-coding RNA, 240 nt
Filed under: soil metagenome
Description: partial contains 5.8S ribosomal RNA, internal transcribed spacer 2, and large subunit ribosomal RNA
Source: RNAcentral